GCCCAGGUGGCGAAAUUGGUAGACGCAGGGGACUCAAAAUCCCCCGCCGCAGGGUGUGUCGGUUCGAGUCCGACCCUGGGCACCA
RNAcentral lists this transfer RNA (85 nucleotides) under Neisseria meningitidis. RNAcentral describes it as "tRNA-Leu". It matches the Rfam family "tRNA". From Rfam's summary of the family: Transfer RNA (tRNA) molecules are approximately 80 nucleotides in length. Their secondary structure includes four short double-helical elements and three loops (D, anti-codon, and T loops). Lineage: Bacteria; Pseudomonadati; Pseudomonadota; Betaproteobacteria; Neisseriales; Neisseriaceae. The record is from RNAcentral.